CACGAGUCAAGCGACUUAGCAGCAGCAUCCUAAAGUGGAUGCUCAGUGGCCUAGGCUGGGCAAAGGAGGAGUUCAAGACGCUUUGGAUUCACAGAACUUGUGCUCGCUUGGAUGGGGGUGGAGGCCGGAUUGGCAAGUGCCCUGGAAAAGGAACCUGCUCUUGAACAGCCCUGGGCAGCUGCUCAGGCGCCACCCUCCCGGGCCACCAGGAGCUGGGUGGAGCCUCUGGCAGGAGGGACAAGAAAAUUCCCCACCUGACGUGGAGGAGAAGCUGAUGAUGGAAGCAUGACAUUCAUUCAAGAGCGAGGAAGAACGUGGUCUUUUUCCCCUCCCCACUUUUUCUUUGAUUGUAAACUGUAGCCCACUAAGUUCUUGGGGUGUAGUACCCUCUCACCCUCCUGCUUGUAAGCCUCAAAAUCAUCCUAUUCUAAUAAAUCAUUUCUUGUCUAUCUCUUUGCCUCUCGUUGAAUUCUUUCUGAGCUG
RNAcentral lists this long non-coding RNA (483 nucleotides) under Capra hircus (goat). RNAcentral's name for it is "lncRNA (ENSCHIG00000001804.1)". Lineage: Eukaryota; Metazoa; Chordata; Mammalia; Artiodactyla; Bovidae. The record is from RNAcentral.